Long non-coding RNA from Tachysurus fulvidraco (yellow catfish), 3515 nucleotides. RefSeq lists it as uncharacterized. The transcript is spliced from 8 exons. The record is from RefSeq and is a predicted model, not a curated record. Lineage: Eukaryota; Metazoa; Chordata; Actinopteri; Siluriformes; Bagridae.
CUGCAUGUAGGUACAGAUUUGGGGGAAAGCAGUGCCAUGGAAUAUGGGAAGCCCAUUACCGAAUCCGAAAUCUUUGUUUAAGUAAUAAUUUUUAAAGUAUUUACCUACCAAUCUGGCAACCAGCAUUGUCGUGACCAGUAUAUGGCGGUGUUGAUUUCGGUUAAAUAUCAGGUAGUUAUUUUUAGCUACAAAAAAUGGCAAAAUCGACAUUCUUAUUCUAAUUAAAAAUACAGAAAUAUUUACAUACAUACUGUUUUAAAGUCCUAUUUAAAAUCCCGUUUUCCGAUAAACGACACACACGCGCACAAACACGCACGCACGCACGCACACACACACACACACACACACACACACACACACACACACACACACACACACACAGGUGCCGCGAGGAAUGUAGGAAUAGGAUGCAGGUGCGCUUGGACAGGAGGACUGCACCGGAGAAGAAAUAAACACAGUGGUGAAGGGAAAAGGCGCGUGUGACGAUGGCCGGUGCCCGGAGGGGGCUCGUGGCUCCUCAAAACACUUUUCUGGAGAAUAUAGUGAGAAGAUCAAAACGCUCUGAUGCAGAUGCCACGUGCGCUCUCCUGUUCACUGAUCUGGGAUCUGUCAUGAGGCGGAGCACGGCUGUCACUUGGCUAUGAGGUUCUUUUGAAGAUGCAGACAGAGGAAGUAAAACGCUGCUGGAGCUCAUGUGGAUAUCGCGCCUGUACAAGAUCUCCUCAAACGUUAUCUUCUCAAACUUCAUUGUUUAAAAUGUCCUUCUAAAUCACACAAGACUGGGUUGGAAUUGUUUUUAUGAAAACUGUGUUUGCACCAUCAAAACCCGAAGUUCACUCAAAUCACACCUUACAAGAAUACACAACAGAAGCAGAAGACGUCGAGAAAAUUUGACAUUUUUGUGUGACGUGUGAUUUUAACAAGUUUUGUACAGAAACCCAAUUCUUUGCUCACCUUGGAAGACAUCUACAAAAUAAAGAAACUGUCCUUUGCCCAUUCCAUAGAUGGUCCUAUCCUAUCUUUUGCUCAUUUGACUUUCCAUUUAGAAACGGGUAUUAAAAAACAAAAAAGAGCGGCUAUUUGAUUUUCGUUUUAAAAUACAAAAAUUACAACUGAAAUACAACGUGUUUUUCUUUUUCAUGGUCAAAAACGGAUGAGUAAAAUUUUAAAAAUGGUUUGAAUUUCAUUUUAUACUUCGAAUAACAAAAAUAUAAAAAAAAAAACCACAAAAAAGAAACGAAAAAAGGCCCAUUUUUUAUAUUCCGUGGUCAUUUACAUGACAAGAGCGCCAAAUUUGAGAUGACAAGAGUUCCAAAAUUAAGGCCAAUGUUGCUUUAGCCCAGACUAAAAUGUCUUUGGAACCGUACUCAGUUAUGACAUUAGAUAUGGCAAAACAAGGCCUGUCAUCUGCAGAAAUCUCUGCGUGGAUAUCACACGAAAGUGGGGGAGCAAGAGGAUGUUCUGCAAGAAAUGUGAGGAGAUUUUGUGCUGAAAAUGGCUUAAGUUUGAUGGGACUCCCCGACGUGCAUUUGGAGUUAGAAGUGGCAAAAGCUAUAACCGAGGUAUGUACUUGCUAUAUCUCCCCGUUUUUAGUGUGUGUGUGUGUGUGUGUGUGUGUGUGUGUGUGUGUGUGUGUGUGUGUGUGUGUGUGUGUGUGUGUGUGUGAAAGAAAGAGUGUGAGAACUAACAUGUAAGCCUAUAUGCACACACAUAUGUCCUGCAUCUGCAAAGGGUCUUCAACUGGCAUCUUUUAUGCCUGCUUAUUACAAAUAGUAAAUAAAUCACACUAAAUAGCCUCAGCCUACCAUUAUUUGUAAGAGAGCUGAGAGAGCUGUUUUAAAAAUUGUGUGGAACAAGGAUUUAUCUUUGCUUCAACAAUCUGAUACAAAAUCUGUUUGCUCUCUCGAUACUGCCAGUGUGUCAACAUCGUCCUCCCAGAGCCCUUCAACCGUUGUUCAGAGCUCUAUGAGAAGUACAUUGCGGUGGCCGUCACCUUUUCCAAUUCCUACUUUCUAUCAUGAUGUUGAGUUUAGGCUUUGCAAAGCAAAUGAGGUUUAUGAACAAACAAACAAGGCUUUAAGUGUACCGAGAGAAAUUAAACCACACAUCUUUGAGAAAAUUGCAGAGGCAAUAUUUGCUCUUAAAGCUCACUCACUUGUGUUGAAGCAUCCCCGCCUUACAGAGCCAGGUACGGGGAAAGGAUUUGAUGGGUGGAAAAUGAGCCUAAAAUACAAACUAGGCAAUUACAGGUCAAAACUACGAUCAGCUGGUUGCCAUGAAAAAGAGGACGAGGAGAUGGUGAAGACCAGAGAAAGUCUCUUAAAAGGGCCAAACGAGGAGAGAUUAAUUAUUUACCGGAUCAUCCUACAGGCCAGUCUGAUGAUACUCUGGAGGAGGAAAGACUCAUACUGGUAGAGGAACUAAAGAAGAGGAAUAAAAAUGAGACCCUCAUCAGUCGGAAAAUGAGCCUGACAUUUUCACUUCGGCGAAAAGAGAUUGUUUAAGUGGUGCCAAUGGUGUCUGAGGUGCUGGAACAAUGGCCUGCCCUGUUUAUUCCAAAUGAGAUUGGUUAUGAGUUCAAACGCAUUACCAAUGUGGAUCUCCUUGAUACAUUCAGAUCAUCUUUACACCAACAUCACCACAACUUCUGAAGUUGUACAGAGCAAGACAGGGGACUUUUGGAAAAGACAUGGAAGAUCAUCUUAACAGGCUUGAUCAACAGACCUCAAAUAUCGUAAAUCAUCGAAAGCUAGCAGUUCUGGAAGGUCUCCCUUUGUUUCUCCGUGAAGAUCCUUCUGCACUUUUCAGAAAAUAUCUGGACACAUCACCAGCAGACAGACAGACCAGAGGGAUAAAAAUGGCAUUGCAGAUCUUUUCAAAGUUUGCUGUUGUUUUGGAGGAGGCAAUUGUUCUGAAAGACAUUUCAGACCUUCCAUCUGCUGUGUCAUACCUGUUUGGCCUUGUCUUUGCCCUGGAUUUUGAAUACCCCAAAGAACUCAAAUAUACGUUUGAAGUGAUUGAGAAGGUGAUUCUGGAAAUGUGCCCUCACUGCUCUGUAAGAGUACAGUCCUUUAAAACAAAACUCUUACUGUGAAAGUUGAAAUCAUGUCAGAGUCUGAAAAUCUUUGAAGUUGAUCUUAAUGUUAAAAUGUGAAAGGUUGUUGAACUGUGGAUUUGUUAAUAUGUUCGUAGAUGUUUUAAGACUGUUUAAUGGCAUUAUUAUUUUAUAGUUUUUUGGUGUUAUGCACACUUUAUGUUAUACACACAAGAGUAUUAUUACUGAGAAUUGUUAAAGACAUGUUAAAAGGUUAAAGGUGAUACAUUUUUUCUUUAGUUUUUAUGUUUCUAAUUAUUAUUAUUAUUGAUUUUGCCAUUUUCCAGGGUUUCUUUAUUUUUAUUAUAUUGUCUGUCAUUUAUAUAUUUAUUUUUAUUUUUUUUCUGUUAGGAAGUAUGACUAUUUGACCUUGUUUGUAUUUCUUUGAACAUUCAGAAAAAUAAACAAAACUUAAAGCAUG